GAUGAAGAACGUAGCGAAAUGCGAUACUUAGUGUGAAUUGCAGAAUCCCGUGAAUCAUCGAGUUUUUGAACGCAAUUUGCGCCCGAGGCCUCGGUUGAGGGCACGUCUGUCUGGGCGUCGCAU
This 123-nucleotide ribosomal RNA is filed under the name Cathaya argyrophylla. Its description in RNAcentral is "partial 5.8S ribosomal RNA". It matches the Rfam family "5.8S ribosomal RNA", at positions 35 to 154 of the family's 154-position model. From Rfam's summary of the family: 5.8S ribosomal RNA (5.8S rRNA) is a component of the large subunit of the eukaryotic ribosome. It is transcribed by RNA polymerase I as part of the 45S precursor that also contains 18S and 28S rRNA. Functionally, it is thought that 5.8S rRNA may be involved in ribosome translocation. Lineage: Eukaryota; Viridiplantae; Streptophyta; Pinopsida; Pinales; Pinaceae. The record is from RNAcentral.